CGUUUUUUUAAGGAAAGCAGAGGUUUUAGGCAGGAUUUGAUGCAUAAGGUGUGUGUAGAUAUUAAUGUUAGGGGACAAUGUGAGUGAUGUGUACGUUUAGUAGGAAAACCUAUUAUCUGAUCCACACUCCGGGACAGAAGAGGGCGGUAUUGCACCAAUAAGCUGGAUGCCAACCGCCGUUAAACUGGAAAGAAGUUACAAUGAGGUACAAUGGAACAGAUUAUGUUUAUCUGCUGUAGAGUGACUGAAGAAGGAAUGCUGCCAUCAAAGGAUUUGUAUCUUUUGUGGUGGAGCAGGACCUGCAAGGAAAGGG
RNA transcript from Cyprinus carpio (common carp), 313 nucleotides. RefSeq lists it as uncharacterized. The record is from RefSeq and is a predicted model, not a curated record. NCBI's taxonomy places the organism in Eukaryota, Metazoa, Chordata, Actinopteri, Cypriniformes, Cyprinidae.